RNAcentral lists this ribosomal RNA (372 nucleotides) under uncultured organism. RNAcentral's name for it is "partial 16S ribosomal RNA". It matches the Rfam family "Bacterial small subunit ribosomal RNA", at positions 527 to 896 of the family's 1533-position model. The record is from RNAcentral.
AGAGGGUGCGAGCGUUAAUCGGAAUUACUGGGCGUAAAGGGCGCGUAGGUGGUGAUAUGAGUCAGCUGUGAAAUACCCGGGCUCAACCUGGGGGUGUCAGUUGAGACUGUAUGACUAGAGUGCAGUAGAGGGAAGCGGAAUUUCCGGUGUAGCGGUGAAAUGCGUAGAUAUCGGAAGGAACAUCUGUGGCGAAGGCGGCUUUCUGGGCUGCAACUGACACUGAGGCGCGAAGGCGUGGGGGUAGCGAGCAGGAUUAGAUACCCUGGUAGUCCACGCGGUAAACGAUGAGUACUAGUCGACGGGGGUCUUUAGACUUCGGUGGCGCAGCUAACGCAGUAAGUACUCCGCCUGGGGAGUACGGCCGCAAGGUUA